This 325-nucleotide ribosomal RNA is filed under the name uncultured eukaryote. Its description in RNAcentral is "partial 18S ribosomal RNA". It matches the Rfam family "Eukaryotic small subunit ribosomal RNA", at positions 1470 to 1796 of the family's 1831-position model. The record is from RNAcentral.
CCCUUAGAUGUUCUGGCCGCACGCGCGCUACACUGAUGCAUUCAACAAGCCUAGCCUUGACCGAGAGGUCCGGGUAAUCUUUGAAACUGCAUCGUGAUGGGGCUAGAUUAUUGCAAUUAUUAAUCUUCAACGAGGAAUGCCUAGUAAGCGUGAUUCAUCAAAUCGCGUUGAUUACGUCCCUGCCCUUUGUACACACCGCCCGUCGCUCCUACCGAUUGAAUGUGUUGGUGAGGAGCUCGGAUUGGCAGCAGUUGGUGGUUCGCCACCGGCUAUUGCUGAGAAGUCCUCCAAACCGCCCCAUUUAGAGGAAGGAGAAGUCGUAACA